UGAUUAAAUAAUUGAUUUUGUCAAUUAUCUCUGUAUUAGAGCCAUUAGUAUUUCGGGAACAGGCCUUUAGUAUCUUUAUAUUGAUUGAUAUCUGACUAUAAAAUUUAUUGAUGUGUUACACUGAAUUUAUUUGAGAUUGAUUUGAUCUUAUUGACUUUCUGAAAUUAUUGAAAUAAACUAUUGGAAUUGCAUUAUUAGCUAUUAUUUGCUAUCUGAAAUUUUU
Molecule: unclassified non-coding RNA, 223 nt
Filed under: Hevea brasiliensis (rubber tree)
Lineage: Eukaryota; Viridiplantae; Streptophyta; Magnoliopsida; Malpighiales; Euphorbiaceae
Source: RNAcentral